RNAcentral lists this small nucleolar RNA (94 nucleotides) under Zostera marina. Lineage: Eukaryota; Viridiplantae; Streptophyta; Magnoliopsida; Alismatales; Zosteraceae. The record is from RNAcentral.
UUUGGGCGAAUGAUGAAUCUUAUUUGAUCAAAUGGGUAAUUUGCAUCUGAUCUUUUUCUGUGAUGCUAUCAACCUUGGAGAGCUGACGUUCUAG